GACGAACGCUGGCGGCGUGCUUUACACAUGCAAGUCGAACGGUAACAGGUUAAGCUGACGAGUGGCGAACGGGUGAGUAAUGCAUCGGAACGUGCCCGAUCGUGGGGGAUAACGCAGCGAAAGCUGCGCUAAUACCGCAUACGAUCUGAGGAUGAAAGCGGGGGACCGUAAGGCCUCGCGCGAUCGGAGCGGCCGAUGUCAGAUUAGGUAGUUGGUGGGGUAAAGGCCCACCAAGCCGACGAUCUGUAGCUGGUCUGAGAGGACGACCAGCCACACUGGGACUGAGACACGGCCCAGACUCCUACGGGAGGCAGCAGUGGGGAAUUUUGGACAAUGGGCGAAAGCCUGAUCCAGCAAUGCCGCGUGCAGGAAGAAGGCCUUCGGGUUGUAAACUGCUUUUGUACGGAGCGAAAAGGUCCUUUCUAAUACAAGGGGCUCAUGACGGUACCGUAAGAAUAAGCACCGGCUAACUACGUGCCAGCCGCCGCGGUAA
Molecule: ribosomal RNA, 493 nt
Filed under: uncultured bacterium
Lineage: Bacteria
Description: partial 16S ribosomal RNA
Rfam family: Bacterial small subunit ribosomal RNA
Source: RNAcentral